AGUGAACGCUGGCGGCGUGCCUAAUACAUGCAAGUCGAACGGAGUGGCGCACGGGUGAGUAAUAUAUAGCUAAUCUGCCCCUUGCUGGAGGACAACAGUUAGAAAUGACUGCUAAUACUCCAUAGCAAGGGAUAAGACUAUAUCGUAUCAGCUAGUCGGUGGGGUAACGGCCUACCGAGGCUAUGACGCGUAACUGGUCUGAGAGGAUGAUCAGUCACGUUGGAAGUGAGACACGGUCCGAACGCCUACCAAAAGCAGCAGUAGGGAGUAUGGCGCAAUGGGGGAAACCCUGACGCAGCAACGCCGCGUGGAGGAUGACACUUUGCGGAGCGGAAACUCCUUUUGUUAGAGAAGCGGUACCUAACGAAUAAGCACCGGCUAACUCCGUGCCAGCAGCCGCGGUAAUAC
This 408-nucleotide ribosomal RNA is filed under the name uncultured bacterium. RNAcentral describes it as "partial 16S ribosomal RNA". It matches the Rfam family "Bacterial small subunit ribosomal RNA", at positions 29 to 526 of the family's 1533-position model. The record is from RNAcentral.